GGGGGAGAGAACAGACGGAUAGACUCUAAUCAAAAGUGCCGCUGACAUCAAAACAUCCCAUCGCUGAAAUCCCAUUUUCUUCGACCCCUCCUCCACGCUUCUUCUUCUUCAUCACCAUUAGAGACCCCUAGACAGAGAAGCUAAAGUAGACUUCCGCCGCAAUACACCCAAACACCUUUCCCCAUCGCCGGUCUUCUUCUUAACCAUCUGAACUUACACACACCCACAAAACCAAGGCUAAAAAUGAAAUAGAAACAGGGAGCAAGAGUGCACUUAGAAUUUAGUUAGAUUUUUUGCUUUUCCAUGUUUCAUCGUUUUCUGGGAUUCCAUUGGUAUUUCAAGGUGUAAAGGAGAUGUGUAAAUCAAAGGCUAUAUCUAACAAUAACAGUUUGUUAUAGAGGUCAUUUGAGUUUCGAAGCUUUUGUUCCUUCUGAUUUCAAUGGAGAUGAGUUAAAUUCUGCCCGUGGCGGAGUUUGUUUGAGUGUUCAUCGUCGAUCGGGGUUCGUUCGCGGCUGUUAAUUUCUGUUUCUUGGAAACGAUUUGCAUUGGAUUUUCACUGCCGGAUUCUUUUGUAAUUUGCCGAAGAAUUAAUUGAAAGUUUUGACAGGUUUAUCUUCUACUCUUCCUUAUUUUAUUAAUGGAAGAUGUUUGUGAGCUAGUUUAUAUACUAAUCUGUGAUGCCGAUUUCUCGUGAAUUUUACUGAAUUUUCAUUUGUUUGGUGUGUUUGACUGAAGCUCGUCCAGUUAUGAUAUUGAAAAGAGUAAACUGUGCCCAAGAGUUGAAUAGUUCUAACUUAUCCGAAAGGAAGAUUAUAAAGAUCUGAAUAAUUCCUUAUGGAAACGAUAAUGGUGUUUAGACUCAAUUGAAUGAGUUAUGCAUAUGUGAACGUUCUAUUAGCUGAGCAAUUUAGCCUAUAUAGACUACAAUCUAGUUUUCUCCUUAUGUUGUUAGCCUUUUUCUUUGCUCUUUAUCUUAUUAUGGUGUUGAUCGAAAUACAAUGAUGUUGAGAUUUUGUUAGAUUGGAAAUGUUUAAGAGCGGGUUAUGUGGUACCCAUAUGUGAUGCAAUUUUUAUCGUGAAUUCUGUUGUUUUUCAUUGAUUUUGGCAUAUCUUCUUUGUUCAAUUAGGUCUGUGUGCUACUGAUUCUUUCGUUGUGUUUUCCUUAUUUAAUUAUGUUGUCGAGUUGUUACUUGUAUUUGAAGUUGAAUGAAACAGUAGAUGGACGUUUGGUUUUGGUUUGUGCUCAAAGAAAAUUGACUAAUUUCAAACAGCCAUUUUGUUGCCUCAUAUGUAGAAAUUGAUUAGUUCUAUCAAAAUUAGACCCACGGGUACAAAGUUUGAAAGGUCUUGCUGCAUUUUACUGAUCUUCUGAAGGAUAAGUUUUAUUCCAUUGCUAAAUCGUAUGUUAGUACUGAGUGUUGGUGAUAACUGUGAAAUAUGUUAAAGAGAUAGCACAUUAGUAUUUGUGGAAUUCGGUUGUGUUCGAUUAUUAUAGUUGAAUACAAAUCUCUACUUUAAAGAAAUUGAGGCGUGCCAUUCACACAAUUGAAUCACAUAGCCUAUGACCCUCAUAUUAAUUUUACAACUUAGUGUAGAAAGCAAUUUGAGUUCUCGUAGUCUGCUUUAGGCACGUUAAUUAAAUAAAGUGCCACAACUACGAGUAUGGUUCCCGUGACGUAGUUGUGAUACACAAUUCUAAAAUUUGGGGGUACAUUUAUGUGACCCGAUCACAAUUUAAUCUUGUUAAUAAAAUAAACAUGUUGUGGAUCUUGGGUACGGCUCCCGUGACAUGAUUCACGACGUGUAAUCAAAUAAUUAGCUGUAUAACAAUCGGAUUAUUAAAAGCGGUUUUAAAAGGUAUAAAAUGCACAUAGGUUUCAAAGAUAUUUUUAAAAUCAAAUAAAUAGGCAAAUAAUAAUAGUUGAGCGACCAUGCUAGAACCACGGAGCCCGGGAAUGCCUAACACCUUCUCCCGGAUUAACAGAAUUCCUUACCCGGCUUUCUGUGUCCGCGGACUAUAAAACAGAGUCAAUAUUUCCUCGAUUCGGGAUAUAAAAUCGGUGACUUGGGACACCAUAAAUUAUCCCAAGUGGCGACUCUAAAUUUUAAAUAAAACAAUCCUGUUUCGAUUGUCACUUGAAUUGAAAAAAUUCCCUUAUAUCCUUUCGGGGGUAGGAAAAAGGAGGUGUGACAGCUCUGGCGACUCUGCUGGGGAUGAGAACCCAGAACUUCCGGUUCAGGGUUCAAGAAUUCGAGCUUAGAAUAAUUAUUAUAUUUGGCUUUUAUUUAUUAUCUGAUUUUAUUACAUGUGUGGGACUAAUGUGCUAAAUGCAGCUUUUUACCGCUUUGAUAUUAUCUGAACUGUAUAUAAACUACUACGAAACCCAUCUCUUCUCAUCUCCGGGGAUGUGCACGCUGGAAUUACUCCUUUUCUGUUAGUGUCAUACUUUAAAUUAGGAAGAGGCUCGGACAAGUUACAAAGCCGGAUAGCCUUUUGGUUCCCGGUACGUAGGCCCCCCUCAACUCGAGUUGUCCGCUCGGGUGCACAAGUCUAGAACAACAUACCCAAGUUUUGAACUUAGAAUAACUUAGCCUAAUGCCGGAUCCCUAGUAGAAAUGUUUGUUUGCAUCACGUGCAUCUGACUUUGGGGACUCUACACAGGGGUUGGGUCCGUUUAGGACAGGUGUACCCAAAAUAACAAACCAUCUUGAUGCAUCCUAUGUGCUACAUAUUGCAUUUCUUCAAGGGUAAAAGGGUCAUUUGGCGGACAAAUAAUAGUUGAGGGAAAAUAAAAAUAGAAAAAAAGAGAGGGUGUAGUGUGAAAUGUUUCUGUCACAUUAUUGUUAAGAAAAAAGAACUUGAAAAAUUAAAAAAAAAAAGAUUUUGCACUUUUUCAUCAUUUUCUGAAAAUCAAAAAAUAAAAAAAGAAAAGAAAAUCCAAAAAGAGUUAAUAUGUUUCAUCAUAUUUCAAAGCAAAAUAUGUUAUCUCUAAAUUAGUUGUUUUUUUAAUUCUUGCCCCGUAUCCAAUAUGCCCGAACUACGCAUACCUGAUUCUCAUCUUUCGGGGCGUGAUACGUAGGCAACCCACAUAGGGUCCAGUCUUCCUAGUAAAUCUUAGGUUCUUGACUUUGCGGGGUCAUAGCCAAAUUCACUUCUAGCUACUUUUUGGCCAAAUAAGCCAUUUUGCAAAAAUAGCCUCAAUUAUGUCUUGCAUGUGUCCAAUAGGGAGUGUUAUUGUCUCACCUAGUGUUGGUUUGAGUUUUUUUCAUACAGGUGUGGAUCUACUUACCGGGGUUUGAGCAUGACAGACACCCCAUGACCAUCCAGUCAGGAUCGCUCAUUCAGGAGUUGCUUAAGGAGAUUUGUUUUAGUUUUUAUGUUUUGAGUAUGUUCUUCAUUUUAUGUUGUCUUUUACUUUUUAGUUUUGUACAGUAACGUCGAGUCUUUUGUUAUUGUACUUUCUACUUUAUAUUUGAAAAAGUGUGUUGUAACUCAAAAAUCUAAAAAAAAGAAAAAUUG
RNAcentral lists this long non-coding RNA (3520 nucleotides) under Nicotiana tabacum (common tobacco). RNAcentral's name for it is "long non-coding RNA (NTAB_LNC019545)". Lineage: Eukaryota; Viridiplantae; Streptophyta; Magnoliopsida; Solanales; Solanaceae. The record is from RNAcentral.